Molecule: RNA transcript, 1694 nt
Organism: Carya illinoinensis
Lineage: Eukaryota; Viridiplantae; Streptophyta; Magnoliopsida; Fagales; Juglandaceae
Exons: 13
Source: RefSeq, a predicted model, not a curated record
GAGAGAGAGAGAGAGAGAGCAAAUUUAUCUACAAAGCUGCACUGCGAUCUAAUUCAGUGGCCAGCUGAUGCGGAGCAGAGUACAUACGGAAGGGUGGCAUACGGGAUUUCAUACAGAAAUUCACCGGGCGAAACACAGCGAAAUCAAAAAGCCAAAACUUGGAUCUCGAUUUCAUACCGCCAUCGAGCUCGUUUCCGGUCUUCUUCAAUCGUCAUUUUUCGAGAGUGAAAAAAUAGGGAGUAUCUUAGCUAUCAAUUACGAACACUCGGGGAAGGCGAAUGACUAGUGCAGCAGCAGCAUCAGCAGCAGCUCUGCCACUCAUUUUCUCCUCCGCUUCUCCAAUUACAAACACCACCGCGAAAUUCACAUACCCAGGUUUUGGUUCACCCAGACAUAGAAAUGGUCUGAGACUUGUGGCUUGUGCUUAUACUGCCAUUUCAAGAAGAGGGCAAGGUGCAUCUGACCCAGAGCUUCGGAGAGUUCUUGAACUUGCCUCGGACUCUGAGUUAUAUGAGCUUGAAAGGAUCCUUUUUGGCCCCAGCUACUUCAGCCCUUUAAUAAAAUCAAUAACAAGUAGAGCUGAUGUGGACCAUGUCAUGAUUGAAGAAGAUCUUGAAGAGCGAGAAGACUUUAUAGCAGAACUAGAGUCGCGAUUUUUAUUCCUUGCUGCUGAUGCCCGUUCUACAUUAAGGGGGUGGAGACCAUCAUACAGAAAUGUCUUGCUCUCUGUGAGAAAAAAGUUAAACAUUCGUUGCUCAAGCAAAUUGUCAACUGAAGACCUUGAAAUCGAAAUUUUUCUUCAUCUAUUGCAGAAUUACUCAAGUGAAGAACUGGGAUAUUUUCCGAGCUCAUUGGAACCCUCUAAGACAUCUAAUGAUAAAGGAAGUCUAGAACUUGGACUUGAUCGGGGGAAGGUGCACACCCUUGAUGCUGUGAAAGAGCUUUGGUCAAUGAUUUUGAAGGGUGGUGGUAUGCUUACUUUGGCAAAGAUCUAUGAAUUGUUAGCAAGGAGAUUAUCGGGGAAGGUGUUUGUAGAAGCUGCCAACUAUCAGAUUAAAAAGGAAUUCAUUAAAAAGGGUGGACAAUUAGCUGUGAUUAACCUAGAGUCAAGAGCAGCCUUGCUUGCAGCAAAACAGGGCCUUUCUGGUGCUGCAUCAAGAUAUCUGGGUUUUAGAAGCAUGAUGGCUUUACUUGGCCCAGUGAGAUUUGGUUACUUCAAAGAACAUGCAAGAUUCAUUGCAACUGAAGUUUCAAAUUGGGGUGUGAAGUGUUGAAACUGAUAAUUCAAAUGUCACAUUGAAAAAGAGGCUUUGGGGGACACUUCUGGCAGACGUUGUCAUUCAAAUGCUUGGAACUGAUUAUGCUAGAAUCUUGCGAGCAAUUUAUGCUUUUGCACAGAUCCGCAUCACCCGCACCUAUGGAUAACCGUCUGAGGCUGACUGAAAUUUGGGUUUUUGGAGAGUUGCUUUUUACUAUUUUCAGAUGGUAGAUUGAGAGCUUAGGUUGGUCUUUGAGCUGCUUUAAAAUGAAGGUAUAUUCUGGUUUGGCAGACAAAUUCACUGCGUGACAACCAGCUUUUUGGACAUUUGUUCAUAAUUUUUGAAACUGUGUAUAUAUUGUUAGACUUAGAUACAUCUCUGCGGCUUCAGACUAUUAUUAUAUGGUGCAAAUGAACUCUGAAUUCCCAUUUUUUA